GACGAACGCUGGCGGCGUGCUUAACACAUGCAAGUCGAACGGAAAGGCCCUGCUUUUGUGGGGUGCGCGAGUGGCGAACGGGUGAGCAACACGUGAGUAACCUGCCCUUGACUUUGGGAUAACUUCAGGAAACUGGGGCUAAUACCGGAUAGGAGCUCCUGCUGCAUGGUGGGGGUUGGAAAGUUUCGGCGGUUGGGGAUGGACUCGCGGCUUAUCAGCUUGUUGGUGGGGUAGUGGCUUACCAAGGCUUUGACGGGUAGCCGGCCUGAGAGGGUGACCGGCCACAUUGGGACUGAGAUACGGCCCAGACUCCUACGGGAGGCAGCAGUGGGGAAUAUUGCACAAUGGGCGGAAGCCUGAUGCAGCAACGCCGCGUGCGGGAUGACGGCCUUCGGGUUGUAAACCGCUUUCGCCUGUGACGAAGCGUGAGUGACGGUAAUGGGUAAAGAAGCACCGGCUAACUACGUG
Molecule: ribosomal RNA, 468 nt
Filed under: uncultured bacterium
Lineage: Bacteria
Description: partial 16S ribosomal RNA
Rfam family: Bacterial small subunit ribosomal RNA
Source: RNAcentral